GAUGAACGCUGGCGGCGUGCCUAAUACAUGCAAGUCGAGCGAACAGACGAGGAGCUUGCUCCUCUGACGUUAGCGGCGGACGGGUGAGUAACACGUGGAUAACCUACCUAUAAGACUGGGAUAACUUCGGGAAACCGGAGCUAAUACCGGAUAAUAUAUUGAACCGCAUGGUUCAAUAGUGAAAGACGGUUUUGCUGUCACUUAUAGAUGGAUCCGCGCCGCAUUAGCUAGUUGGUAAGGUAACGGCUUACCAAGGCAACGAUGCGUAGCCGACCUGAGAGGGUGGUCGGCCACACUGGAACUGAGACACGGUCCAGACUCCUACGGGGGGCAGCAGUAGGGAAUCUUCCGCAAUGGGCGAAAGCUUGACGGAGCAACGCCGCGUGAGUGAUGAAGGUCUUCGGAUCGUAAAACUCUGUUAUUAGGGAAGAACAAAUGUGUAAGUAACUAUGCACGUCUUGACGGUACCUAAUCAGAAAGCCACGGCUAACUACGUG
Molecule: ribosomal RNA, 497 nt
Filed under: uncultured bacterium
Lineage: Bacteria
Description: partial 16S ribosomal RNA
Rfam family: Bacterial small subunit ribosomal RNA
Source: RNAcentral